RNAcentral lists this ribosomal RNA (253 nucleotides) under uncultured bacterium. Its description in RNAcentral is "partial 16S ribosomal RNA". It matches the Rfam family "Bacterial small subunit ribosomal RNA", at positions 524 to 776 of the family's 1533-position model. The record is from RNAcentral.
UACGUAGGGUGCAAGCGUUAUCCGGAAUUAUUGGGCGUAAAGAGCUCGUAGGCGGUUUGUCGCGUCUGCUGUGAAAACUGGGGGCUCAACCCCCAGCCUGCAGUGGGUACGGGCAGACUAGAGUGCGGUAGGGGAGAUUGGAAUUCCUGGUGUAGCGGUGAAAUGCGCAGAUAUCGGGAGGAACACCGGUGGCGAAGGCGGUUCUCUGGGCCUUACCUGACGCUGAGGAGCGAAAGCGUGGGGAGCGAACAGG